RNAcentral lists this long non-coding RNA (783 nucleotides) under Daucus carota (carrot). Its description in RNAcentral is "long non-coding RNA (DCAR_LNC001629)". Lineage: Eukaryota; Viridiplantae; Streptophyta; Magnoliopsida; Apiales; Apiaceae. The record is from RNAcentral.
ACCCCUCUUAAUAAGAAAAAUAAAUUGGUUCUUGUUCUCUCGCAUUCCAUAGAAGUGCCUGAAAAUUGAGAAAUUUACUAUUGUAUCACAUAGAUAACCAAAGUCACAUUGAGAACUUUUCAAAGAAAUUUACUACUGUAUUACAUAAAUAAGCAAAGUUGGAUCAACUCGAUCACACAAGAGUUCAUCAUUGAAUCAACAAUUUCCCGAAAUCUAAAAUCAGACAUCAGUCAAUGAUCCACUCUUCAACAUCAACGGAAAGAGCGGCUUGAAAGGCAAAGAAGACUCGAAAGCUUCAAUCUUUGGCCUGCAUUUGGAACUAUCUCCUUUGUUUUCCUCCAUACAUUUCUUGAAAGCUGCUUCAUCUUGCUCUUUCACAUUGCUUGUGCUCUUGCCUUUUUCUGCUGCUGCAUUCUCCUUCUUUUCGGCUUCCAUGGCCAACAAUCUAGCUCUGUUCCGGUGGAAAUAUAAAUUUCCUGCAAGCAGAAAACAAACAAAUCAGACCCCUCAUGGUUAUUGCAUGUAUAUAAUAAAAUAAUAUUGUAAAACACAUUGAAACAUUAAAGAAAUUGAUCGCAAAGGAGAAAUAACCACCUACUCUUACUUGGGUUGCUCUUAAAAUUGGACUUGACGGGGUUAUAUAGAGGAGCAGGAAACACCGAAUUAGGCUCAAGUCCCGGUUUAGGGAAAAAAAAAAGAAUAUAUUAUUAUUUUUAAUUUAGUAGUCAUUUAUUUCAUAAGAAUCUGUAUUUUGAAUAAUUAAUUCUCAUUUUAAGUUUUAGG